Molecule: transfer RNA, 84 nt
Filed under: archaeon
Lineage: Archaea
Also listed under: 3 other names
Description: tRNA-Ser
Rfam family: tRNA
About the family: Transfer RNA (tRNA) molecules are approximately 80 nucleotides in length. Their secondary structure includes four short double-helical elements and three loops (D, anti-codon, and T loops).
Source: RNAcentral
GCAGACGUCGCAUAGCCUGGUAUUGCGCCGGAUUUGAAAUCCGGUGCCCUUUGUGGCACGGGAGUUCGAAUCUCUCCGUCUGCG